AAUAAGCGGAGGAAAAGAAACUAACAAGGAUUCCCCCAGUAACGGCGAGUGAACAGGGAAGAGCCCAGCACCGAAUCCGCUGCCCUGCAAGGCAGAGGGACCUGUGGUGUGUGGGACGGUGGCAUUGGUGCGAGCGUCGGGCAUCCGAGACUCCAUGAUCGGUGCCCUGCCCAAGGCGGGUGUGUGGCCCUUACGAAAGCCCGUCGCUCGUCCGUGCUCCGUCUCUGGAGUCGGGUUGUUUGGUAAUGCAGCCCAAAGUGGGUGGUAAGCUCCAUCUAAGGCUAAAUACAAUACCUCGAGUCCGAUAGCGGACAAGUACCGUAAGGGAAAGUUGAAAAGAACUUUGAAGAGAGAGUUCAAGAGUACGUGAAACCGCUUAGAAGGAAACGGAUGGAUGUGCACGUACACGGCCACCCGCGGGAUUCAGCUGGCGUUCGGGGCCCCUCGCUCUCGCCGAUACUUCGGCAGGUGGCGUUUGCGGGCACCGCGACGUCGGUGCAUUUCCCGCGUGUGUGGCGGCCGCGGCCGGUCCAGGCUUGGCCAGACGAGCUCGGAGAAGGUAGCGCGUAGCUGCGGCGGCUUGCCGUCGUGGCACUCGUCUUACAGCUCCGGGUCUGCCUGCGUCGUCAGGCUGGGACCGAGUAGUGCCUGUGGUGCUAACGGCACCCGGCGAUCGCGCUCAGUCUCACCGGGCCGUACCCCUCCCGGGUGCGCCGGUGCGAGCGUCCGCUGGGAGUUGCGCGGUGAUUGUCAGUCACUAACCCAUCC
This 768-nucleotide ribosomal RNA is filed under the name Ephesiella sp. SPH204. RNAcentral's name for it is "eukaryotic LSU rRNA". It matches the Rfam family "Eukaryotic large subunit ribosomal RNA", at positions 45 to 645 of the family's 3401-position model. Lineage: Eukaryota; Metazoa; Annelida; Polychaeta; Phyllodocida; Sphaerodoridae. The record is from RNAcentral.